GACGAACGCUGGCGGCACGCCUAACACAUGCAAGUCGAACGGACUUAGGAGAGCUUGCUCAAAUAAGUUAGUGGCGGACGGGUGAGUAACACGUGAGCAACCUGCCUCUAAGAGGGGAAUAGCUUCUAGAAAUGGAUGGUAAUACCUCAUAAAAUAUUUUAAUGGCAUCAUUGAAAUAUCAAAGAUUUAUCGCUUAGAGAUGGGCUCGCGUCUGAUUAGCUAGAUGGUAAGGUAACGGCUUACCAUGGCGACGAUCAGUAGCCGGACUGAGAGGUUGAACGGCCACAUUGGGACUGAGACACGGCCCAGACUCCUACGGGAGGCAGCAGUGGGGAAUAUUGCACAAUGGGCGAAAGCCUGAUGCAGCGAUGCCGCGUGAGGGAAGAAGGUCUUCGGAUUGUAAACCUCUGUUUUCAGGGACGAUAAUGACGGUACCUGAGGAGGAAGCUCCGGCUAACUACGUGCCAGCAGCCGCGGUAAUACG
This 484-nucleotide ribosomal RNA is filed under the name uncultured bacterium. RNAcentral describes it as "bacterial SSU rRNA". It matches the Rfam family "Bacterial small subunit ribosomal RNA", at positions 28 to 527 of the family's 1533-position model. The record is from RNAcentral.